Molecule: long non-coding RNA, 905 nt
Filed under: Pan troglodytes (chimpanzee)
Lineage: Eukaryota; Metazoa; Chordata; Mammalia; Primates; Hominidae
Description: long non-coding RNA NONPTRT012634
Source: RNAcentral
CAGAAUCUGUGGCCAUCUUGAACCUGCCUCAGAGGCCAUGGUAGAGUCCUUUUACUGCCACUGCUGUGAACCACAUCAUUCAGUAUGCAGCACUUCGAAUUUUGCCAAAGUAAUCAUGAUGUAUGAAAACUCGCAACAUGACAUCACGAAUUCUGUUAAAGACAUGACCAUCUCAUUUCCUGCCAGGUUUGGACCCUCAAUUCCUUCACUUGAAUGUGAGUCAGCCUCAUGAGGACAGUUGCAUUUGCCUCCCGCCUAUUCUCAUGCCUAUGAUCACUCCUUUCACAACCAUUAACUCAUCUCACACAGCCUCUCUGCAUAGUACAAUUCUGAAAUAAAAUUUGAUUGUGUUACAUUAUCUAAAUAUUAUUUCAGUUUUUACUUAUUAAUUAUCAAACAGUUAAAAGGACCUAAUCUGGCUUUCCAGACCAGGGCCACCUCUGGGGUAUAUGCAGUCCUGGGUGGCAAAUCUUUUUGUGCAGAGUCUCUGUCUAUACAACUAUUUUGAUCAAAAUUGUAUUCAGAAUCCAUAGUCCCAUGUGAGGUAAUGUAUUGAUGGAGAUUUAAAACAACGGGCAGAGGAGAGGGACUUACGUAUUUGUUUAUCACUCAUUUGGGGCAGGUGAAGAUUCUUCAUAGGGUCCUGGCACUAUCUCUUCCUGUUCAGGUCCGAAAAACAUCUUGUCAUGUUCUUUUUAUGGUGACAACUCCUCAUUUUGUGCUAGCAGAGUUAAUUCUCCAUUUCCAGAAAUUGCUGCCAGUUUCUGACCUAAUUAGAGUUCAAAAAUACUCGUGUUUUUCUUAUUUUUUCCACUGAGAGAAGAAAGUAGCAGUGCUGUUAUGACUCACAAUACUAAGGCUCUUUGGAGUCUGUAUUGAUACAAUUUAAUUCUUCUUGCCUCUGC